RNAcentral lists this unclassified non-coding RNA (284 nucleotides) under Basidiomycota sp. RNAcentral describes it as "partial contains small subunit ribosomal RNA, internal transcribed spacer 1, and 5.8S ribosomal RNA". The stretch from base 1 to 47 matches the Rfam family "Eukaryotic small subunit ribosomal RNA", at positions 1785 to 1831 of the family's 1831-position model. The record is from RNAcentral. Lineage: Eukaryota; Fungi; Basidiomycota.
AAAGUCGUAACAAGGUUUCCGUAGGUGAACCUGCGGAAGGAUCAUUAAAGUAUCUCUGGCGGGGAGUGAGCCUCGCUCCGGUCCUAACCGGCCGUUGCAGCGGGCGAGCGACCCGUCCAAACCUUCACAAACCCUCUGUGCACUUCAACGGUGGAGGGAGCCCGUGCGAGAGCUCGGGCUUCUGAAGCCGCUACCCAACAAACCCCCAUCUUUAAAGAAUGUAUUGCGGCCAUCGCGUCGCCUAACAAACGAAACAACUUUCAACAACGGAUCUCUUGGCUCUC